Molecule: long non-coding RNA, 2836 nt
Filed under: Mus musculus (house mouse)
Lineage: Eukaryota; Metazoa; Chordata; Mammalia; Rodentia; Muridae
Description: long non-coding RNA chr9:83347745-83350581
Source: RNAcentral
CACAGACACCAAGGGACGACUGCAUUACUUUCAUAAUCGGAAUGCUUUCGAGAAUGUCAGGCUCCUCCUUCCCCUCAAUUCUUGAAAUACACUGUGAAAGAAAUAGCAUUUUAUACAUCGAUAUGUUGAAAAAUAAUAACCCCAGUGUCGCAUGAAGGAACUCAUGAAUAAAGUAAAAGUAACUUGAAAGGCUAAUUUCUUUUUUGUAAGCAGGCUGUCUACAGAACCCACAAUGGGCCAUUGAGCACACAGAGCCAUGAUAGCAUCUGUCAUUUAAUACUUGACGGAGAUGGCGAUUGUGUCUCACCCCAUUGGUGGAAGCUUGACUUUACAGUCUGAAGUGAUUGGCUAACCAGGGCAAAGGGAAGGAGAAUCAGAGAACAUGGACCCUUGUUAGGCUAAUUACUGUUGAUAGAAAAAAGCUGCCCCACGCCCGAAACAAGCACAAAAGAGGCUUCCUAGCUACCAACCCUCAUCAUCUUUCCUCUUCACUCUCAUCCCCUCAACCUCAAUCAAUAUCAUAAUGAUACAGUAGAUAUUGGGUUUGGUGACAAUCUCAGGAGGGGUCUGAAUCAAAUAAAAUCAUGAAGUUAUGUAGAUAGUAGCAAACUAAAUGAGAGACUUUUAUUAAGAAAGCAUACAUUUCCAAAGGAGGGCGCCUGCAACUAGGGGACAGCAGUUUCAAGGGCUCCAUUUUAAAUUGCCCCCCAUGGGCAUUUUGGUGUUAUGAUGAGCCACAGGCUUGGACACUGGCAUUCUUAUGCCUUCACCCGUGGCUACAUUUUAGUGGUCGUUACAGGAGGCACGUGAGCCUUCUUCAUCAGUUUUUUGUUUUUGUUUUUGUUUUCCAUGUAUUAAUUUAGUAAGGCUUGGCCCAAGGUCUUCUGGACCUGGCUUUCUAUUCUCCUUCCUCAAAAAUUUCUCCCGUGAUUAUGACUUCAGAAGUCCCUGAGUCCUCUUCACCAGAAUCCUCCCUCUGAGCAUCGAGCAGUGGCUGCUACCACAUGGCCGUUGGUUAAAGUGCACUUCAUCUACCUUAAACCAACGCAGGAAGGCCCUGCUCACCCAGCUCCCGCUCAAGCUGCUGCCGACUCAGCUUUCUCAUAGUGAUGAUAAGGAGCAAUCUCCGUUAACUCUGUUAACAGGGUUAUCUGUACCUUCCCUGGUCUUCUCAAGCAGCUGUCCUCACGCUCCUCUUUAACAAGAAUCCUUCCUCUCUGAGGCCGGCACACCCCAUCCAUGGCCAUCACUUAGGCAAGGGCAUCUCAGCUCUAUUCUCUUCACUCGCUGGCCUAGGUCUUCACAUCAGCCGGGUGGGGCAUGCGCUCUUCUUGCUGUCGCUAUUUCAUAGUAACUUGCUCCCACCGCAGAUCUGAGCUUGUACGGUGAGCUGAGAUUUCACCCAGGCAGGAUAAAGCCUAAAAUCUCCUGGAUAAUUUCCACUGGACUCACCCAGAGACCAGGUGUAUUCUAAGAGCUUCUCUGCCAUCGCACAGAGCCUGGAGAAAUAAAAAGCAUUCGGUUUUUCCGAAGUACAAAGAGUGAACUCUGACAACGCUGUCUCGUUACUUCUCUCCUACGGUGGCGUCCCAUGGUGAACAUUGUCAGCUCAACAACAUAUAUAAAGUAAUUAUUUUUUUUAAGGGCAAUUGCUAGUGAGCAGAGUGGAAGCAAGAGGCUGGCUUCCUGACUCUUAGCUAAUAACCCUAAGAAGGAUGGCUGGGCUAGUCCCUGCAUAGAGACCUCUGUGCCCAGAGGGCCUUUACAUUUCUCUCCUGCUAGAACUCCUACUUCCUCCCCUCUGCUUCUCCCUCGUCUGUUCUUCCUCACACUCUUUUUGCUCCUUCUCCUUCUCUCCCCCUCUCCUCCUUAGUCUCAAGCCCUCUCACCAAAGAAAGUCUUCCUGGGGACAGUCAGUGUGCACAACAGAUUUGAAACAGCUGCUCCUCCUGCUGCCAGUGGGUGGGGAGCCGGGAGCCUGCCUCCUGUCCCCUGCUUGCUACAUUCCUGCUCUCUGCCUCAGAAAUCUGAACAGACCUGUUUAAAGGACCAAGUGGGUGGUGUGUGCACGUGUGGGCAUGCAUCCCUGUUUAGAGAUGGGAUGGAGAAAAGGUAAUUUUAUGGUUCAUUAAAAAAGAAAGAAAGAAAAAUAGAGAGAGAGAGAACAUGCUCAAAGCUCCUCCCCAUUUUCUCUCUAAACUGCUGAUUUUUUUGUUCUGGGCUCCCUAGAACUGGGGUUCACUUGUAAGCCAACAAACACUUAUAGUCCUGGCCAGGAUGCAUUCCUGCUGAGAGCUCACAGCAGCCACAAGAAAGCUGCAGCUGACCUGACUGUCUGUCCUUUUCCUGAGAGGGAAUGCAAACUUGCAGACUUUCAUCUGAUUAGUUGCCUGAACUUCAGCAGAAAUACUUUUACUGUCCUGGUUGCUUCUUGCAGGAGGCCUGCUGGUACCCUGUUCUCAUCGGAUCUCCACAUAGUCACACUGGGUAGCAUGCCCUUUCUGCAUUAUACCUGGAAGCAUGCCCUUUCUGAGGCAGCCAGAGUUUGUAACAUCAACACAGAGUUGUUUGGUAAAAGCGGGAGUCUGCAGAGACCACCAAAUGACGAAAGCUGCAUAAACAGUUGUGGGUGGCUCUGAGUGCUGUGAAUUAUCUGAAACCCAUCACUAGGGGAGGAAGCUGAGACCUGGACCCUCCCGAGAUGAGCGAAUGGUUAUUGUUAUCUCAGAUGCUUCUCACAUUGUGGGCUCCUCAGUUAAUAUGAGUCAUAAAAGAAGUGUUUUAUAGGAAGUAGACUUUUUUAAGUUAACAACUACAUGUAACAUUCAGCCAAAUU